AACGCACAUUGCGCCCCUUGGUAUUCCGAGGGGCAUGCCUAUUCGAGCGUCAUUAUCACCCCUCAAGCUCCGGCUUGGUGUUGAGGCCUGCCGUCAAGGCACCCUCUAAAAUCAGUGGCAGUGCCGUCAGGCUCUAAGCGUAGUAAUUUCAUCGCUAUAGACCCGGGCGGACCCUCGCCAGAACCCCCCAUUUUUUUAAUGAUUGACCUCGGAUUAGGUAGGGAUACCCGCUGAACUUAA
This 240-nucleotide unclassified non-coding RNA is filed under the name uncultured Tetracladium. RNAcentral's name for it is "sequence contains ITS2". Lineage: Eukaryota; Fungi; Ascomycota. The record is from RNAcentral.